RNAcentral lists this ribosomal RNA (497 nucleotides) under uncultured bacterium. Its description in RNAcentral is "partial 16S ribosomal RNA". It matches the Rfam family "Bacterial small subunit ribosomal RNA", at positions 28 to 507 of the family's 1533-position model. The record is from RNAcentral.
GAUGAACGCUGGCGGCGUGCCUAAUACAUGCAAGUCGAGCGAACAGACGAGGAGCUUGCUCCUCUGACGUUAGCGGCGGACGGGGGAGUAACACGUGGAUAACCUACCUAUAAGACUGGGAUAACUUCGGGAAACCGGAGCUAAUACCGGAUAAUAUAUUGAACCGCAUGGUUCAAUAGUGAAAGACGGUUUUGUUGUCACUUAUAGAUGGAUCCGCGCCGCAUUAGCUAGUUGGUAAGGUAACGGCUUACCAAGGCAACGAUGCGUAGCCGACCUGAGAGGGUGAUCGGCCACACUGGAACUGAGACACGGUCCAGACUCCUACGGGAGGCAGCAGUAGGGAAUCUUCCGCAAUGGGCGAAAGCCUGACGGAGCAACGCCGCGUGAGUGAUGAAGGUCUUCGGAUCGUAAAACUCUGUUAUUAGGGAAGAACAAAUGUGUAAGUAACUAUGCACGUCUUGACGGUACCUAAUCAGAAAGCCACGGCUAACUACGUG